This 253-nucleotide ribosomal RNA is filed under the name uncultured bacterium. RNAcentral's name for it is "partial 16S ribosomal RNA". It matches the Rfam family "Bacterial small subunit ribosomal RNA", at positions 524 to 776 of the family's 1533-position model. The record is from RNAcentral.
UACGGAGGGUGCGAGCGUUGUCCGGAUUUAUUGGGUUUAAAGGGUGCGUAGGUGGGACCUCAAGUCUGGUUUGAAAGCAGGCGGCUCAACCGUGUGAUGUGGCUGGAAACUGGGGUUCUUGAAUGGGUUGGCGGCUGCCGGAACGGGUCAUGUAGCGGUGAAAUGCAUAGAUAUGACCCAGAACACCGAUUGCGAAGGCAGGCAGCUACGACCUGAUUGACACUGAGGCACGAGAGCAUGGGUAGCGAACAGG